CCCAGCUGGUACUGCCAUGGUGACCUGAGUGGUGACAGGUGGCACCUCUGUGUCACCCCCCCCAGCUGGUACUGCCAUGGUGACCUGAGUGGUGACAGGUGGCACCUCUGUGUCACCCCCCCCAGCUGGUGCUGUGACAGAGCCCCGUAUGACCUGGGGGUGACAGGUGGCACCUGUGUGUCCCCCCCCUAGCCCAGGCUGUGCCCCCCCUGGCACAGCUGGCACAGGCGGUGGCUGUGCUGGUCAGUAAUUAACUGUGUCUCGUUAAUUGUGGGGAGAGAGAGCGGCUCCCGGAGCUUCCUCUGGGACCUGAUGGUGUUCCUGUGGGAUCUGCUGGGGCUUCCUGUGGGAUCUGCUGGGGCUUCCUGUGGGAUCUGCUGGAGGUUCUUGUUGGAUCUGCUGGAUGUUCCUGUGGGAUCUGCUGGAGGUUCUUGUUGGAUCUCCUGGAUGUUCUCGUGGGAUCUGCUGGAGGUUCCUGUGGGAUCUGCUGGAGGUUCCUGUGGGAUCUGCUGGAGGUUCCUGUGGGAUCUCAGGGUGUUCCCCUGGGAUCUGGUGGCCCUGGCUCCCUCCUGGACCCUUCUCCUGUUGCUUUUCUCCUCUGAGCAGUCUCAGCUGUCCCAGCCCUCCCUCAGCAGCACCCUGGGAUUCCCCCCGACCUUGUGGCAUCUCCUGGGAGCCUUCUGGGGUUCCCUGAGAGAAUUUGGUGNAUUUAAAGUUUUGUUAUUUUACUUUUUAUCAAAACUUUUUAUUAAAACUUUCCUGUUUCCGACACUG
RNAcentral lists this long non-coding RNA (774 nucleotides) under Zonotrichia albicollis (white-throated sparrow). Its description in RNAcentral is "lncRNA (ENSZALG00000009213.1)". The record is from RNAcentral. Lineage: Eukaryota; Metazoa; Chordata; Aves; Passeriformes; Passerellidae.